This 434-nucleotide ribosomal RNA is filed under the name uncultured bacterium. Its description in RNAcentral is "partial 16S ribosomal RNA". It matches the Rfam family "Bacterial small subunit ribosomal RNA", at positions 29 to 507 of the family's 1533-position model. The record is from RNAcentral.
AGCGAACGCUGGCGGCAGGCCUAACACAUGCCAGUCGAACGAACCUUUCGGGGUUAGUGGCGGACGGGUGAGUAACACGUGGGAACGUGCCUUUAGGUUCGGAAUAACUCAGGGAAACUUGUGCUAAUACCGAAUGUGCCCUUCGGGGGAAAGAUUAAUCGCCUUUAGAGCGGCCCGCGUCUGAUUAGCUAGUUGGUUGAGGUAAUGGCUCACCAAGGCGACGAUCAGUAGCUGGCCUGAGAGGAUGAUCAGCCACAUUGGGACUGAGACACGGCCCAAACUCCUACGGGAGGCAGCAGUGGGGAAUCUUGCGCAAUGGGCGAAAGCCUGACGCAGCCAUGCCGCGUGAAUGAUGAAGGUCUUAGGAUUGUAAAAUUCUUUCACCGGGGACGAUAAUGACGGUACCCGGAGAAGAAGCCCCGGCUAACUUCGUG